This 362-nucleotide ribosomal RNA is filed under the name Staphylococcus chromogenes. Its description in RNAcentral is "bacterial SSU rRNA". It matches the Rfam family "Bacterial small subunit ribosomal RNA", at positions 429 to 783 of the family's 1533-position model. The record is from RNAcentral. Lineage: Bacteria; Bacillati; Bacillota; Bacilli; Caryophanales; Staphylococcaceae.
AGCUCUGUUGUUAGGGAAGAACAAAUGUGUAAGUAACUGUGCACAUCUUGACGGUACCUAACCAGAAAGCCACGGCUAACUACGUGCCAGCAGCCGCGGUAAUACGUAGGUGGCAAGCGUUAUCCGGCAUUAUUGGGCGUAAAGCGCGCGUAGGCGGUUUUUUAAGUCUGAUGUGAAAGCCCACGGCUCAACCGUGGAGGGUCAUUGGAAACUGGAAAACUUGAGUGCAGAAGAGGAACGUGGAAUUCCAUGUGUAGCGGUGAAAUGCGAGAGGAACAGCAGUGGCGAAGGCUGCGAAGGCGGCUUUCUGGUCUGUAACUGACGCUGAUGUGCGAAAGCGUGGGGAUCAAACAGGAUUAGAU